This 102-nucleotide small nuclear RNA is filed under the name Otolemur garnettii (small-eared galago). The record is from RNAcentral. Lineage: Eukaryota; Metazoa; Chordata; Mammalia; Primates; Galagidae.
UCGCUCUAGCUGCACGUAGGCUAAAAUUAGAAUGACAUGGGGAAGAUAAGCGUGGCCCCUGCACAUGAUGACUCGAAGGUUCGUGAAGCCUUCUGUGCUUUG